GGACAAGGUUUUGACUCUGGUACCUUCAAGUGCCCGAGUUGUAAUUUGGAGAGGGCAACUUUGGGGCCGUUCCUUGUCUAUGUUCCUUGGAACAGGACGUCAUAGAGGGUGAGAAUCCCGUGUGGCGAGGAGUGCGGUUCUUUGUAAAGUGCCUUCGAAGAGUCGAGUUGUUUGGGAAUGCAGCUCUAAGUGGGUGGUAAAUUCCAUCUAAAGCUAAAUAUUGGCGAGAGACCGAUAGCGAACAAGUACAGUGAUGGAAAGAUGAAAAGAACUUUGAAAAGAGACUGAAAAAGUACGUGAAAUUGUUGAAAGGGAAGGGCAUUUUAUCAGACAUGUUGUUUAGUGCC
RNAcentral lists this ribosomal RNA (347 nucleotides) under Saccharomyces sp. RNAcentral's name for it is "partial 26S ribosomal RNA". It matches the Rfam family "Eukaryotic large subunit ribosomal RNA", at positions 107 to 449 of the family's 3401-position model. Lineage: Eukaryota; Fungi; Ascomycota; Saccharomycetes; Saccharomycetales; Saccharomycetaceae. The record is from RNAcentral.